AGUGAACGCUGGCGGUAGGCCUAACACAUGCAAGUCGAACGGAAGCACAGUAAGAGCUUGCUCUUAUGGGUGGCGAGUGGCGGACGGGUGAGGUAUACAUCGGAACCUACUUUUUCGUGGAGGUUCACGUAGGGAAACCUACGCUAAUACCGCAUACGAUCUACGGGUGAAAGCAGGGGAUAGUCGGACCUUGUGCGAUUGAAUGAGCGGAUGUCGGAUUAGCUAGUUGGCGGGUUAAAGGCCCACCAAGGCGACGAUCCGUAGCUGGUCUGAGAGGAUGGUCGGCCACACUGGAGCUGAGACACGGUCCAGGCGCCUGCGAGAGGCAGCAGAGGGGAAUAUUGGACAGUGGGCGCAAGUCUGAUCCAGCCAUAGCGCGUGGGUGAAGAAGGCCUUCGGGUUGUGAAGCCGGUUUGUUGGGAAAGAAAAGCAGCAGGUUAAGACCACGCUGUAGUGACGGUACCCAAAGAAGAAGCACCGGCUAACUUCGUG
RNAcentral lists this ribosomal RNA (492 nucleotides) under uncultured bacterium. RNAcentral's name for it is "partial 16S ribosomal RNA". It matches the Rfam family "Bacterial small subunit ribosomal RNA", at positions 29 to 507 of the family's 1533-position model. The record is from RNAcentral.